GAAAGGCGGGCUAAUACCGGAUAUGAUCGCAGGAGCAUUAGUUCUAGCGGUAAAAGGUGGCCUCUGCUUGCAAGCUACCACUGGGGGAGGGGCCUGCGGGCCAUUAGCUAGUUGGUGAGGUAAUGGCUCACCAAGGCGAAGAUGGCUAGCUGGUCUGAGAGGAUGGCCAGCCACACUGGGACUGAAACACGGCCCAGACUCCUACGGGAGGCAGCAGUGAGGAAUAUUGCGCAAUGGGCGAAAGCCUGACGCAGCGACGCCGCGUGGGUGAUGAAGGUCUUCGGAUCGUAAAGCCCUGUCAGGGGGGACGAAACCGCCUCGACCUAAUACGUCGGGGACCUGACGGUACCCCCAAAGGAAGCACCGGCUAACUCCGUGCCAGCAGCCGCGGUAAUACGGAGGGUGCAAGCGUUGUUCGGAAUCACUGGGCGUAAAGCGCGUGUAGGCGGUCUGGCAAGUCUGGCGUGAAAGCCCGGGGCUCACCCCCGGAAGGGCGCUGGAAACUUCUAGGCUAGAGUACCGGAGAGGAGGGUGGAAUUCCCGGUGUA
This 548-nucleotide ribosomal RNA is filed under the name uncultured bacterium. RNAcentral describes it as "bacterial SSU rRNA". It matches the Rfam family "Bacterial small subunit ribosomal RNA", at positions 153 to 677 of the family's 1533-position model. The record is from RNAcentral.